UGUUUUCCAAGCCUGCUCCUAUUUUGACUUCUUUCUUGUCUACUUCGGUACCCAGAUUUACAAUCUCAACUGACUCCUCGUGCGGCUGUAUAGUCCUCUCUUCCUGCAGUAACAGUCUGGCAAGUUCUCCAGGUACUUCACAAUCUUCCACACUUCCAUCCUCGGCUUGGUAGAUCGGAUUUUCAAAGUCAUAAUGAACAGUAGUAGAACUAUUAUCAACAGGAUCCAGAGUGGGUAUGGAUCUGCAAUUCGUUACGUGAGUGUGUGUAAGAAAACAUAGCUUGUUUGGAAGAUGACAGAAAAGAC
RNAcentral lists this long non-coding RNA (306 nucleotides) under Lathyrus oleraceus (garden pea). Its description in RNAcentral is "Pisum sativum (pea) long non-coding RNA (PSAT_LNC031090)". The record is from RNAcentral. Lineage: Eukaryota; Viridiplantae; Streptophyta; Magnoliopsida; Fabales; Fabaceae.